UGCUGGCUGUGUUUACAUAGUUUGUCAAUUACUUGGACUUAAAGUGACAGUCCUAGUCAGACUUAAACUUUCAUGAUUCUGAUAGUGCAUGCAAUUUUAAACCACUUUCCAUUUGCUUUGUUCUUUUUGUAUUCUUAGUUGAAGGCUAACCUUGGUAGGCUCAUAAGCCAUUGGAGGCCGCCUCUUAUCUGAAUGUAUUUGACACUUUUUCACUGCUAGAGGGUUUUAGUUCAUGUGUUUCAUAUAAAUAACAUUGUUCACACGGCUGUGGAGUUAUUUAAGAGUAAGCACAUUUAUUGCCUGACAUGCAAGUCUGUCAAAAGAUCUGAGAUAAGGAGGCAGUCUUCAGAAGCUUCGAUACAAGUUAAUCACAGAGCUGGCUUGUUUGGAAUAUCUGUCCAGCUCAAAAAUGGCUCCAGCGGUUAAACAGCUGAUGGCAUGGCAGAAUGGAUUUAUGGAAACUUCAAGCAUAUGACGGCUUAAUUUUCUUCCACAAGGUUGUGAGACCAGUUUGCAGGUGAUGCUAAAGUUAACAGAUCUACAGCACCUGUUGCCAUACAGCCAACACUUUGUCUAGUUCAUUGUCAAAAGAAAUGUCUGUGCCUCCUUUGUUAAAACAGCUGGCUUGUUUGGAAUAUCUGUCCAGCUCAAAAAUGGCUCCAGCGGUUAAACAGCUGAUGGCAUGGCAGGAUGGCUUUAUGGAAACUUCAAGCAUAUGACAGCUUAAUUUUCUUCCACAAGGUUGUGAGACCAGUUUGCAGGUGAUGCUAAAGUUAACAGAUCUACAGCACCAGUUGCCAUACAGCCAACACUUUGUCUAGUUCAUUGUCAAAAGGAAUGUCUGUGCCUCCUUUGUUAAAACAGAUCUAGCAAUGUGAAGCGAGAGGCCAUGAUGUACAAAGAGGUCUUCACCUCAACUGUGUUUGCUGACAUCCAGGCUGCAAGUUGAUUUUGUUUUAUAUACAGAUCGUCAAACACUGGACAAAAUGUCUACAUGAAACAGUUCUCCGUUACACCAGCCCAGGUGUUUUAACAGCUGGAGUACGCGUGUGUUUUGUGCAACUCUGCUGCUCUCACAACUUGUGUACCCAUGGAAAGGGGUUGUCCUUGGCGUUCCUGUUUGAACUAUAAACCUGGCUGUUUAAUACAAUGCUAAUAAUGUUUCUAUCUGUUCUAUUAAUAAAGCUGUGACCUAUCUUA
Bombina bombina (fire-bellied toad) is the source of this 1200-nucleotide long non-coding RNA. RefSeq lists it as uncharacterized. NCBI's taxonomy places the organism in Eukaryota, Metazoa, Chordata, Amphibia, Anura, Bombinatoridae. The transcript has 8 exons. The record is from RefSeq and is a predicted model, not a curated record.